GCAAAUAACAAAAAAAUCAGGACCAUAACAGUAAAGGCAUAGCUGCCACAUGUUUGUGUCAGCCAUCAUUGACUGACAUUUAUUUUGAACCUGUGUGGGCAUGCUGAAAUACAGACAAAAUAAGUAUUAUAGACAUGUUUCAAGGGCAGGACAGCUUCCUUUCCUCCUCAGGUGUUGGAUACCCUGGCUUCGCCGUCUGUCAUCCUGGGUCAACAUCACACACUGAUUCUCCCACAGGACCCAAUAGGACAGGUCCCGCUCCCGGUCGCUGUGGAUAGGUUCUGGCAGGUUCAGGCCCUCUGCGUCUCUCCCAGGCAGGAAGUUGGAGCUGGUUUUGCGAUGACGGGGAAAUAAAGAGCUGGUAAAAUGGCGUGGCAUGUCGUUCAGGGAGAGUCAGCAUGGUAUCGUCUUUAACCCUUGGCUUUGUGGUUCGCCUGGGAUGCCCCCGCUACAGCUGCUGCCGCCACAAAGGCAGGGAAUUAAAGACACACUGCACCUUUUUGAUCUCGUUU
Molecule: long non-coding RNA, 512 nt
Organism: Notolabrus celidotus (New Zealand spotty)
Lineage: Eukaryota; Metazoa; Chordata; Actinopteri; Labriformes; Labridae
Exons: 4
Source: RefSeq, a predicted model, not a curated record